GUUCGGAUUGCAGGCUGCAACUCGCCUGCAUGAAGCCGGAAUCGCUAGUAAUCGCGGAUCAGCACGCCGCGGUGAAUACGUUCCCGGGCCUUGUACACACCGCCCGUCACACCACGAGAGUUUGUAACACCCGAAGUCGGUGAGGUAACCUUUUUGGAGCCAGCCGCCUAAGGUGGGAUAGAUGAUUGGGGUGAAGUCGUAACAAGGUAACCGUA
RNAcentral lists this ribosomal RNA (215 nucleotides) under uncultured bacterium. RNAcentral describes it as "partial 16S ribosomal RNA". It matches the Rfam family "Bacterial small subunit ribosomal RNA", at positions 1291 to 1504 of the family's 1533-position model. The record is from RNAcentral.